This 505-nucleotide ribosomal RNA is filed under the name uncultured bacterium. Its description in RNAcentral is "partial 16S ribosomal RNA". It matches the Rfam family "Bacterial small subunit ribosomal RNA", at positions 28 to 507 of the family's 1533-position model. The record is from RNAcentral.
GACGAACGCUGGCGGCGUGCCUAAUACAUGCAAGUAGAACGCACAGUUUAUACCGUAGCUUGCUACACCAUAGACUGUGAGUUGCGAACGGGUGAGUAACGCGUAGGUAACCUGCCUGGUAGCGGGGGAUAACUAUUGGAAACGAUAGCUAAUACCGCAUAAUAUUAAUUAUUGCAUGAUAAUUGAUUGAAAGGUGCAAUUGCACCACUACCAGAUGGACCUGCGUUGUAUUAGCUAGUAGGUGAGGUAACGGCUCACCUAGGCGACGAUACAUAGCCGACCUGAGAGGGUGAUCGGCCACACUGGGACUGGGACACGGCCCAGACUCCUUCGGGAGGCAGCAGUAGGGAAUCUUCGGCAAUGGACGAAAGUCUGACCGAGCAACGCCGCGUGAGUGAAGAAGGUUUUCGGAUCGUAAAGCUCUGUUGUAAGAGAAGAACGGGUGUGAGAGUGGAAAGUUCACACUGUGACGGUAUCUGACCAGAAAGGGACGGCUAACUACGUG